AGUGAACGCUGGCGGUAGGCCUAACACAUGCAAGUCGAACGGCAGCACAGUAAGAGCUUGCUCUUACGGGUGGCGAGUGUCGGACGGGUGAGGAAUACAUCGGAAUCUACUUUUUCGUGGGGGAUAACGUAGGGAAACUUACGCUAAUACCGCAUACGACCUACGGGUGAAAGCAGGGGAUCUUCGGACCUUGCGCGAUUGAAUGAGCCGAUGUCGGAUUAGCUAGUUGGCGGGGUAAAGGCCCACCAAGGCGACGAUCCGUAGCUGGUCUGAGAGGAUGAUCAGCCACACUGGAACUGAGACACGGUCCAGACUCCUACGGGAGGAAGCAGUGGGGAAUAUUGGACAAUGGGCGCAAGCCUGAUCCAGCCAUACCGCGUGGGUGAAGAAGGCCUUCGGGUUGUAAAGCCCUUUUGUUGGGAAAGAAAAGCAGCAGGUUAAUACCCCGCUGUUCUGACGGUACCCAAAGAAUAAGCACCGGCUAACUUCGUG
RNAcentral lists this ribosomal RNA (492 nucleotides) under uncultured bacterium. Its description in RNAcentral is "partial 16S ribosomal RNA". It matches the Rfam family "Bacterial small subunit ribosomal RNA", at positions 29 to 507 of the family's 1533-position model. The record is from RNAcentral.